CAAUAGCGUAUACUAAAGUUGUUGCGAUUAAAAAGCUCGUAGUUGGAUCUCAGGCAUGGGCGCACGGUCCGCCUCGCGGCGGUCACUGUGUGUUUUGUUUCCCAUCCUACGCUUCCCGGUUAUCAGCCCAUGGUGCUCUUCACUGAGCGUUUUGGGUGGCCGGAACGUUUACUUUGAAGAAAUUAGAGUGUUCAAAGCAGGCACGUCGCCUGAAUAAUGGUGCAUGGAAUAAUGGAAUAGGACCUCAGUUCUAUUUUGCUGGUUUUCGGAACACGAGGUAAUGAUUAAGAGGGACAGACGGGGGCAUCCGUAUUGCGGUGUUAGAGGUGAAAUUCUUGGAUCAUCGCAAGACGAACAACUGCGAAAGCAUUUGCCAAGCAUGUUUUCAUUAG
RNAcentral lists this ribosomal RNA (392 nucleotides) under uncultured eukaryote. RNAcentral describes it as "partial 18S ribosomal RNA". It matches the Rfam family "Eukaryotic small subunit ribosomal RNA", at positions 592 to 976 of the family's 1831-position model. The record is from RNAcentral.